AGCCCCACCUGGGGCAAGGUUAGUGUUUGAACGCGGAUAUGCUACACACCACCCGGUCAACCGGUCCCCCUAAGGUGGUGCGACUGUAAGGCGAAAGUUCGCAGAGCAGCCUACACCACUGACCUGCUCGUCGUUGUUCACUUUUUUCCUGGCGUUCGAGCCCGACGCACCGUUGCGUCCGUUCGCCGCCUCACGCCGUGUCUUGCGGAAAAACCGCGUGUGUGGUCAAGUUGUUCGGGGCAUUUUAUUACGAUCCGUCGAGUGACCAAUUCCGAAUUGGUCCUCGUUCCGAUAUUUCGGACAUUGUCGGCCGAUCCGAGUCGUUUUGUCGCACGUCAUUGCGUAAGUGCGUAUGCAAUAGUCAUAUGCUUAUAUUCGAGUUGUCGUCCGUGAACGUCGCGUAGUAUUUCGGUGUGGUGUUUCUGUGUGGUGUGCGUAUAUCGCCCCCCUCCCGGCUGACCAUCAUCAGAUUAUCAUCGUCCAGCGUUCCAGAUCACCAGGGGAAGAUCGAGCGGUGUCGGAAUAUCAGAAUGGUACAGCAUAUAUUUGAGACGCACUUAUAUUGAAGCACAUGGACCACCGAUGACCGCUUACUGUAUUCUCAACAGUACAACAUAUGAACAAAAAAAUAAAAUAUUUUUUUCUAAACUUUUUCAAUCGGUUGUUUUGGAUGAGUUGAUUCAGUACCCCUUCUUAUUAUCCAAUAACUGAAAAAAAAUUCAAGGCGGGGGGUCUAACAUUUUUUUUUAAAUAUAAUUGCUGAAAAUGUAUAGUCAAUAAACUAUAUUCACAGUCAAGGUUACAGUUAUUUUUUUCAAAAUUAUUAUUUUUAAUUUAUGUUCUUUUUAGUAUCUAUAUAUCCAUAUUAUUCAGUAUAAUGAUUAAUGACCAUAAGUAAUACAUGUUAAC
Rhopalosiphum padi (bird cherry-oat aphid) is the source of this 909-nucleotide long non-coding RNA. RefSeq lists it as uncharacterized. Lineage: Eukaryota; Metazoa; Arthropoda; Insecta; Hemiptera; Aphididae. The record is from RefSeq and is a predicted model, not a curated record. The transcript has 3 exons.